RNAcentral lists this long non-coding RNA (544 nucleotides) under Helianthus annuus (common sunflower). RNAcentral describes it as "hypothetical non coding rna". Lineage: Eukaryota; Viridiplantae; Streptophyta; Magnoliopsida; Asterales; Asteraceae. The record is from RNAcentral.
UCUCUCUUUCCCUUUUUGUGAUGGAACCUGACGACUAAGAACCUGCGAUAAAGAACAAACGGUGAACGACGAAUUCUGCUUGCUUCAUUCAAGCCAGUGGCAGAGGCGAUAUUUUCUGCUGGUCGGAGAUUAAGUUUUCCUCAAAAGCAUUCUAAACUCUACUGAGACUGUAGCAAGAGGAAGGCUCCAGAGCUUGGACCUAAAUGAUCUAGUUGGUGGUAUAGAGAUUGGACCAGAAUGGUGUGAGGUAAACGUUCAAGUACCAAUAAAAAAGGUGAAAACUUGGUAAUACCAUAUGGUUUAUUUUCUACAAUUCAAGAUUGUAUUGGUGCAUCCAUCGCAUGGCCCUAUCCAUUCAUCUCGGUAGUCCAUGACGAUUGAGGACGCAUGAUGAUUCAAGAUUUUAUGCUUCUUAUUUCUUUAAUUGUUUUUAAUUUUUUUUGUUAAAUGUUAAGACUUUAUGUUAGAUAAUGUUAUAACUUAUUUAUGGUUAGUGUUUUUGUUAUGAACAUGAUUAUUUGAAAUAUAAUGAAGUUUUAUUUUU